Molecule: ribosomal RNA, 137 nt
Filed under: uncultured bacterium
Lineage: Bacteria
Description: partial 16S ribosomal RNA
Source: RNAcentral
AGGCGCAGCGAGAACGGCAAGGGCGAAAGCCGACCAGCGACGCCGCGGAGGAGAAGGCCCGGGCGAAUCACGACGAGGGACGAAGACGGCCGGAACAACGGCGCAGGGACGGACCCGAGAGAAAGCCACGGCAACCC